RNAcentral lists this ribosomal RNA (349 nucleotides) under uncultured Mycobacterium sp. Its description in RNAcentral is "bacterial SSU rRNA". It matches the Rfam family "Bacterial small subunit ribosomal RNA", at positions 8 to 359 of the family's 1533-position model. Lineage: Bacteria; Bacillati; Actinomycetota; Actinomycetes; Mycobacteriales; Mycobacteriaceae. The record is from RNAcentral.
AGAGUUUGAUCCUGGCUCAGGACGAACGCUGGCGGCGUGCUUAACACAUGCAAGUCGAACGGAAAGGCCUCUUCGGAGGUACUCGAGUGGCGAACGGGUGGGUAACACGUGGGCAAUCUGCCCUGCACUUCGGGAUAAGCCUGGGAAACUGGGUCUAAUACCGGAUAGGACCUCAAGACGCAUGUCUUCUGGUGGAAAGCUUUUGCGGUGUGGGAUGGGCCCGCGGCCUAUCAGCUUGUUGGUGGGGUGACGGCCUACCAAGGCGACGACGGGUAGCCGGCCUGAGAGGGUGUCCGGCCACACUGGGACUGGGAUACGGCCCAGACUCCUACGGGAGGCAGCAGAAGGG